RNAcentral lists this ribosomal RNA (494 nucleotides) under uncultured bacterium. RNAcentral describes it as "bacterial SSU rRNA". It matches the Rfam family "Bacterial small subunit ribosomal RNA", at positions 8 to 518 of the family's 1533-position model. The record is from RNAcentral.
AGAGUUGAUCAGUGGCUCAGGACGAACGCUGGCGGCGUGCUUAACACAUGCAAGUCGAGCGAUGAAGCUCCUUCGGGAGUGGAUUAGCGGCGGACGGGUGAGUAACACGUGGGCAACCUGCCUUGUAGAGAGGAAUAGCCAUUCGAAAGGAUGAUUAAUACCUCAUAAUAUUGUAGCUUCGCAUGAAGCAACAACCAAAGGAGCAAUCCACUACAAGAUGGGCCCGCGGCGCAUUAGCUAGUUGGUGGGGUAACGGCUCACCAAGGCGACGAUGCGUAGCCGACCUGAGAGGGUGAUCGGUCACAUUGGGACUGAGACACGGCCCAGACUCCUACGGGAGGCAGCAGUGGGGAAUAUUGCACAAUGGGGGAAACCCUGAUGCAAGCAACGCCGCGUGAGUGAUGACGGUCUUCGGAUUGUAAAGCUCUGUCUUCAGGGACGAUAAUGACGGUACCUGAGGAGGAAGCCACGGCUAACUACGUGCCAGCAGCCGC